GACGAACGCUGGCGGCGUGCCUAAUACAUGCAAGUCGAACGAAACUUUCUUACACCGAAUGCUUGCAUUCACCGUAAGAAGUUGAGUGGCGGACGGGUGAGUAACACGUGGGUAACCUGCCUAAAAGAAGGGGAUAACACUUGGAAACAGGUGCUAAUACCGUAUAUCUCUAAGGAUCGCAUGAUCCUUAGAUGAAAGAUGGUUCUGCUAUCGCUUUUAGAUGGACCCGCGGCGUAUUAACUAGUUGGUGGGGUAACGGCCUACCAAGGUGAUGAUACGUAGCCGAACUUAGAGGUUGAUCGGCCACAUUGGGACUGAGACACGGCCCAAACUACUACGGGAGGCAGCAGUAGGGAAUCUUCCACAAUGGACGAAAGUCUGAUGGAGCAACGCCGCGUGAGUGAAGAAGGUCUUCGGAUCGUAAAACUCUGUUGUUAGAGAAGAACACGAGUGAGAGUAACUGUUCAUUCGAUGACGGUAUCUAACCAGCAAGUCACGGCUAACUACGUGCCAGCCGCCGCCGUAA
RNAcentral lists this ribosomal RNA (526 nucleotides) under uncultured bacterium. Its description in RNAcentral is "partial 16S ribosomal RNA". It matches the Rfam family "Bacterial small subunit ribosomal RNA", at positions 28 to 523 of the family's 1533-position model. The record is from RNAcentral.